GUAGGUGGCAAGCGUUGUCCGGAAUUAUUGGGCGUAAAGCGCGCGCAGGCGGUCCUUUAAGUCUGAUGUGAAAGCCCACGGGCUCAACCGUGGAGGGUCAUUGGAAACUGGGGGACUUGAGUACAGAAGAGGAAAGCGGAAUUCCAAGUGUAGCGGUGAAAUGCGUAGAGAUUUGGAGGAACACCAGUGGCGAAGGCGGCUUUCUGGUCUGUAACUGACGCUGAGGCGCGAAAGCGUGGGGAGCAAACAGGAUUAGAUACCCUGGUAGUCCACGCCGUAGACGAUGAGUGCUAAGUGUUAGGGGGUUUCCGCCCCUUAGUGCUGCAGCUAACGCAUUAAGCACUCCGCCUGGGGAGUACGGCCGCAAAGGCUG
RNAcentral lists this ribosomal RNA (373 nucleotides) under uncultured organism. RNAcentral's name for it is "partial 16S ribosomal RNA". It matches the Rfam family "Bacterial small subunit ribosomal RNA", at positions 527 to 896 of the family's 1533-position model. The record is from RNAcentral.